GAGAGGCGGGCCGUGCAGCGGUAGCGCGCUCCGCUGGGGCCGGUUUGAGGAGACUGAUUUGAUUUCUAAAAGAUUUCAACGAAAGAGGCUGACUGCGCCUGUUCAGCUCACAGGAUUUAUUAAGCUCCGACUUUGCGCUUGAAACCUCUGGCGCCACUGAGGAAACCAAUGAAAUCUGACCAGAAAAACACUUUGGACUUGGAAUUUCGCGUUAAGGACAGUGAUCCAGAAAAGCGCACUGUGCCCUCUGUGCACUGUAAGAAUGGUGCUGCUGAGAGAAAUUAAGAUUGGAGAAGGAAAGGGUUGCAGUUCAAAGUAAAGGUGGUCAGAGGAAGUCUUCAGGACAACAGAAUUAAAACAUGCUUCAGAAAGUAAGCUUCUAAAACUACAAACUGAGAAUAAAAAACCUGAGAAAGGAGCUGGACAGUAUGGAAAAUUCAGACAAGAUAAAGCCCAUGCAACAAAGCCUACAGACAGAGAUGGAGCUUGCUACAGUUACUCAACAUGUGUUCCAGAACGUCAUUUUGGGGUGUAAAGUCAACUGGGCAGCAGAUCCAGCACUCAAGGAAACUGUUCUGCAGCUUGAAAAGGCUCUCACCGCAAUCUAACAAGAAUUCCACUGGGCCAGGUGUUGCCAUGUGUGCCUUUGAUCUCAGCACUCAGGAGGCUGAAACAAGAGGAUUGCCACAUGCUGAAGACCAGCAAAGAUUUGCACCUUGCAGUUUUUGGAAUUUUGUCUCUGUAUGUCAUUUAAAUAGCAAGUUUCAAGUGACAUGAAUUUGCGAUGUUUGGGGAACUCUCCUAAUCUGUAAUUGCUUUUUAGCUUCAGUUAACACUCUAACCUAGAAUCGGUCAUUUUAAAUAACACUAAAGUGACUGUGUACUCUUAAAAGGGGAAUGUCUUAGUCAUAGAAAAGACACCUGGCCUGAUAUCUGAGGAGCAGGCGCAGUUUUGGACAUUCACAAGGUCCCAGCAUUUGAUUGUAAUACUUGUGUGCAUUUCUGCAUUUGUCAGUCAGGAUGCAGAGAAGUCUCCAUUGUGUCAGCAGCUGGUAUAAUUUGUAGUAGGGUUAUGAGUAACUGUCUUCUGUUCUCUCUGUGUCUGUUUCUCCCCUCACACAUACUUCUGAGCACACACAUACAUAAUGCUGGCUACACCCUAGCAAUGCUGAUGUACAGUGACAUCCGUGCCCAUUUUCAGUUCUGUUUGGACACAAACACUUGCCAACUUACCAAGGCUGGCUUCAGACUUGCAACCCUCCUGAACAACUGGGAUUAAAGCAUGUACUGCCAUGUCCAGUACAGCUCUUUAUUAAUUAGGAGCUAUUGAUCAUAUUAAUGGACAGUGUGAUGUUUUCAGUAUUCUUACUGGAAUAAAGUGAAACUUGAAAAGA
Molecule: long non-coding RNA, 1394 nt
Organism: Cavia porcellus (domestic guinea pig)
Lineage: Eukaryota; Metazoa; Chordata; Mammalia; Rodentia; Caviidae
Exons: 3
Source: RefSeq, a predicted model, not a curated record